AGGAAUGUCUGGGCUAAUGGCCCUGACACGAGGACACCUCCGUCCACAAAGACGGUCAUUGAGCGACGUCUGCUCGAAAUGAAUGAUCGUAGAGGUAGUGAAAUAUUCGAGCCAGUGGUCGGAACCGACUUCGACUCAUGUCAAGAAGCAUAUGAUUUCUACAAUUUGUAUUCGUGGGAGCAUGGAUUCGGCAUUCGGCGUGGCAGAAGCAGAGUUAACACAAACAAGUACAAGUUGAUGCACGAAAUUGUUUGUCAAUGUGCGGGCAAAAAUGACAAAGAAAACUCGUCAUCAUGCAAGAUCGAUUGCAAGGCCAUUGUGAGAUUGCUGCGUACCAAGGAUCAUGGAUGGUACGUCAGUAUGUUUGUCAAGAAGCACAACCAUCGUUUGUCGGUUGGAUACGAUGCAAAACUCCAGUGGAAUUCACACGAUUUCAUAGACCCUGUUUCAUUUGACUUCAUCAAGAAUCUUCGAAGCAAUAAUGUCAGUGUUGGCAAAGUUUAUAACAUUUUGACAAAAUAAAAGAUGAUCUGAAAAAAAAACAUGAAACUUCUGCAAGAUAUGAAGAUGGAGGACAUGAAUUUGAAGGUUGAGAUAGACGUAGACGGAGAUGGUCGUGUCCGUACAAUGCUAUGGGUGACAGGAAAAAAUCGUCAGGACUAUUUUCACUUUGGUGACGUCAUUACCUUCGACACAACAUACAAGACCAAUUUGUAUAACAUGCCGUUUGCCAUGUUUGUCGGGGUAAACAACCACUUCCAGUCUAUUAUAUUCGGUGGUGCACAAAUGCGAGAGGAAACUGAAGCUGCUUUUCAUUGGCUGUUUAAGACUUUUGUGGCUCUGAUGAAUGACAAGCAUCCCGUGACGAUCCUAACAGGUAAUCAAGCUUCAGCUAUGAAAGGUGCGAUUGAGAGUGCUCUCCCGAACACUAAACACAGAUGGUGUAAAUGGCAUGUCCUCCGGGACGUUAAAGGAAAUAUUGGCCAUCUGUACAACAAGUCUUCUGGGUUCAAGAAGGAAUUCAACAAGCUAGUCAACGAUGUGAUGUGUGUCGAUGAGUUCGAAUCCAAAUGGUUGUCCCUUGUGGACAGGUUCAGUGUCAGUGAUAAUGAGUAUAUGGUGAGACUAUAUGAUAAGAGGGCCAUGUAGGCAAAGCCGUAUUUCAAGGGAAUUUUUUGUGCUGGAAUGACAAGCACACAGCGUAGCGAGAGUGCUAAUCAUAUGCUGAAACAGUACAUACCGAGGUCAUCCCCCAUGCAUGUGUUUGUUCGCCAAUACAACAAAUUCCUCGGGUCAAGGAUGAGCGAUGAGGCAAGGGAAUUCCAUCUGAAUGCAAAUAAAUCACGUACUUACGAAUCCACAUAUCCAAUAGAGGAUGAUGCUGCAUCAAUAUACACACGCUCUGACGAGCUUUAUAAGUGUGGGAGUUAUGUAGUGACACCUGUGGUGCACGGUGCACAAUACAUGGUUAGCGUCGCACCAUCCAAAGUGAAGGAUGCAACAAAGAGGAAGUGGCGAAAUGUCAAGAUUGAUGACGACGGGCAGUUCAUAAACUGCGAUUGUGGGAUGUUCGACCAUGUCGGUAUGUUGUGCAGACAUGCAUUGAAGGUAUACUGA
RNAcentral lists this ribosomal RNA (1617 nucleotides) under Triticum aestivum (bread wheat). Its description in RNAcentral is "partial small subunit ribosomal RNA". The record is from RNAcentral. Lineage: Eukaryota; Viridiplantae; Streptophyta; Magnoliopsida; Poales; Poaceae.